CACGCCCAGAAGCUUAGCUCUGAUUGGGUCUCUGUCUUGUUUCUCCACUUCCGGGCUUCGAGUAGUUGCACUUUAGAGUGGGUUUGAGACGUUCUGUAAACUUUGGCACAAGUGCACCGGGCCAGCAGAGUUCCGAAGCUCCCACCCGAGUGACAUGUGACAGACUGGACUACUCCAAAGAUGGACCAGAAGUCUUGUCAGUGUUCCUGGGAUCUGUGGGACAGGGAAUGAAUCCACGAGUGUGAGACGGAAGUACACAGCCCAACCAGCCCCGUACCCCCUGGCCAGUUCAGUGUUUCACCUGAUUUGGCAGUCAACAUAAGGAUAAUCAGAGUGGUCUUGGUCUUGCCAGGCUGUAUCAUACGCCAGGGACCACAGCCUGUACACACAAAUGGCUGGGCAUGCCCAAGACAACCAUGGCCCUAGGUCUGUGGCCCAUGGUGGGUCCACUACUGUCCACACUGCAGUUUGGGCAUCCCACCUAAUCCACAGGAAUCAGGUCAAGCCCCUCCCAGCGCCAAGGGCAGCCAGGGAAGCAGGCUGAUACCUGACGCAGCCCCACACCACACUGAGCUGUUGUGGAGUCUAGCAGGGGUUGGCAUGGACCCUUCGGCAAGCUGACUCUAACAUACACUGCCCACUUGGGGCGCACAAAUACAAAUAAAAAGACUUCUUUGUCCUCA
Molecule: long non-coding RNA, 683 nt
Organism: Mesocricetus auratus (golden hamster)
Lineage: Eukaryota; Metazoa; Chordata; Mammalia; Rodentia; Cricetidae
Exons: 3
Source: RefSeq, a predicted model, not a curated record